RNAcentral lists this ribosomal RNA (400 nucleotides) under Globisporangium abappressorium. RNAcentral's name for it is "Pythium abappressorium partial small subunit ribosomal RNA". It matches the Rfam family "Eukaryotic small subunit ribosomal RNA", at positions 30 to 432 of the family's 1831-position model. Lineage: Eukaryota; Oomycota; Peronosporomycetes; Pythiales; Pythiaceae. The record is from RNAcentral.
GCUUGUCUCAAAGAUUAAGCCAUGCAUGUCUAAGUAUAAACAACAUUGUACUGUGAAACUGCGAAUGGCUCAUUAAAUCAGUUGUAGUCUACUCGAUAGUACCUUACUACUUGGAUAACCGUAGUAAUUCUAGAGCUAAUACAUGCAUGAAUACCCAACUGCUUGUCGGGCGGGUAGCAUUUAUUAGAUUGAAACCAAUGCAGCUUCGGCUGGUAUUGUGUUGAAUCAUAAUAACUGUGCGGAUCGUACUUUGUGCGAUAAAUCGAUUGAGUUUCUGCCCUAUCAGCUUUGGAUGGUAGGAUAUGGGCCUACCAUGGCAUUAACGGGUAACGGGGAAUUAGGGUUUGAUUCCGGAGAGGGAGCCUUAAAAACGGCUACCACAUCCAAGGAAGGCAGCAGG